Molecule: long non-coding RNA, 600 nt
Organism: Eutrema salsugineum
Lineage: Eukaryota; Viridiplantae; Streptophyta; Magnoliopsida; Brassicales; Brassicaceae
Exons: 2
Source: RefSeq, a predicted model, not a curated record
GUUGGUCUUGGCUAUUGAGCGUAUCAAGGGCUUGAGAGUCGAAGUCCUUAAUGACGGACUCUAGCAUCGCUGAUAAGCCUCGAGCCAUUGCUUCUCCGCCGCCUCCGUGACCAUCUACGACGGUGGAUGACGACGAGCUAGUCGCGUCAGCUGAAUCGCGGCGGUUCGGUUCUGAUUGUUGCUCCAUUUCCCGGCGAGGCUAAAUUGUAUUUGUGGCUUUUAAAGGUGGUCUUUGAUGGGUAAAACAGAGUUUUGUCGUGAGGAUGACGGAAAUACCCCUUGGAAGUUAGUUUAAUUUCGAUUAAGAUUUAGGGUUUUCUGCAAAUGUGUGUAUAUAUGUUUAACGACGCCUUCAUUUCUCUCUGAUUCGAUCCAGAGGCCAGAGCGUGAAGAUGAGAGCUAAGUGGAAGAAGAAGCGCAUGAGAAGGCUUAAGAGGAAGAGAAGAAAGAUGAGGCAGAGAUCCAAGUAACCAAGCUUCAAGACAUGUUUACCAUCUCUCUUUCGUUCUAUUGAAACAUUGUUCUUAAGAUUUUUUCACAUCAGACUAUUGUUUAAGAUUUUAAUCAAAAAGAAAAUUCCAGACUUCCCUUCUUUAUCAA